This 88-nucleotide small RNA is filed under the name Brevibacillus aydinogluensis. RNAcentral describes it as "DUF3800-VII RNA". It matches the Rfam family "DUF3800-VII RNA". Lineage: Bacteria; Bacillati; Bacillota; Bacilli; Caryophanales; Paenibacillaceae. The record is from RNAcentral.
UACAGACUUGCGCGAGAUAAACGGAAGGUCGUCUGAUGACGGCAGCGCCAAUAGGCGUGGGAUCCUUCUGCUCGGGGUCUGUUUUAUU